UGUCUUACCUGUAACGAAUUGAAUCGAUAUUGACCGAGGUUUUUUGCGACGGAACACCUUCUAAAACGUAAAUUGUAACAGCUUUGAUGAAAACAUAGAAUCAUACAGACACCAAACAUGUGAAUUAUACCGACACAUAUACCUGAGGAGAAAGAGGUAACUCUUGUCGGACGAGAUCACCGGUGGCGAUGUGAGGGACACCGAGAAGAGUGGAGAGUCGGCUAGCAUAUGUUCCUUUUCCGACGCCGGGGGAGCCUAAAAACACCCACUGGAAGCUUCUAGAACCACCAUCGUUAGGAUCAUCUGUGUGGGGCGGUGAAGAAUUGGUUUGGGAAAGGGUGGAAAGUGAUCGGUGGAAUAAUAGGGAUGAGAAUUGGGGUUUGAAGAGGCGGGUGAGGGCCGCCAUUGGUGGAUUGGAAGAGUUGCAGAAGUUUUCCAGACGGAAGUCAGUCGUCGGUACCUAACGUGCUUUCAUUCGGUUUUUAUAUUAAAAUGGAAAAUAUGCUUUAUAUUUAUGAUGACGAUUUCACGCAUGUGUCAUGGAGACCACUUUCUCACUAG
This 561-nucleotide long non-coding RNA is filed under the name Helianthus annuus (common sunflower). RNAcentral describes it as "hypothetical non coding rna". The record is from RNAcentral. Lineage: Eukaryota; Viridiplantae; Streptophyta; Magnoliopsida; Asterales; Asteraceae.